RNAcentral lists this long non-coding RNA (8351 nucleotides) under Glycine max (soybean). RNAcentral describes it as "long non-coding RNA (GMAX_LNC003194)". The record is from RNAcentral. Lineage: Eukaryota; Viridiplantae; Streptophyta; Magnoliopsida; Fabales; Fabaceae.
UACACUUUGGGUUGUAUAUCCAAUUUAUUCUAUUGUGGUACUAUUUAUUUGUUUUAUUCACAUACAAAAGCUUUCUAUUAUAAAUCUAUAUUAAUUUAUUUACGGAUUUAAUUACAACGUGAAAACUUAACACUUUCCAAAUAACAUGUUUAUUUUAUCUUAUUUUAUUUUAUCUUAAAUAUUUUGGAUAUAAACUUAAACUCAUGUGUACCUACAUAUUAACUAUAAGAAUUAGCAUUUUCUAUGCAAAUAACUUUCAAUUAUAUGAGCAACAAAUUGUCAAUGCACGGGUAGUAUAAUUAAUUAUUAUAUAUAAGAAUUUAUUUUCAUUAAUAUAAUUGACAAAUAAGUUUAAAUAUAAAAAUUUUGUAGAAAAUAUUCAUUCUCUUAAGUUAAAGUUAAAUUUUCCUAUUUGAUUACGGAUAAAAAAAAUCUGAUUUGAUUUCAUAAAAAGAUGUUUAUCUCUUGAGUUUUAUUUAUACAUAAUUUUUAUACUGGUAAAUUUACAUAUAGAUAUCAAUAUAUAAUUAAAUUAUAUUUACAUAGGUAUAGAAAAAGUUUCAAUAUUUUAUGAAAAUGAAAAGAUGAUAAAUAAUAAAUAAUAAUUUCUAAGUAAUUACUUUAAAACUAUUAGAACAAUAAAUUAAAAAAAUACUAAAAUUAUAAUAAAGCAAAGAAAAUUUCUAAGUAAUUCAACUAUUAAUAUAAUUCAAGGCAAGCUUUUCAUCCUAUAAAUUAAGUAUUUUUGUUUGUUCGUUCAUCCCUGUUAUAAAUUAAGUGUUUGUUUUUGUUCUUUUAUGAAAAAUGUUAAUCACAAUUUGUUAUAUUUUAUUUAUACUUCUUAUGUUAGAAAGAAUAAUGUGUUCCAUGGAUAAAUUAAGUUAUAGAAGUUUGAGUAGAAAAAAAAUGUAUAUCCAGUAAAAAAAAUAUUAAAAUAAAUUUAAAAAGAUAAUUUCAUUUUAAUAAUGAAUUUUGAAUUAAUAAUUAUUAUUACAGGGAAUCCUCUAAAGUGCACUUCUCACUGUAAAGAAGACAAAUCCAUAAUAGAAAACUUAAAUUUAUAAGAGAAAAGUCAAAUCUUUAAUAAGUUACAUAAGUCAAAGAUAACAAAUAAAGAAUGAACCCAUAAAAAUAAAAAUAAGAAUGUAUAAGAUUUUUUUUAAAAUCAAUUUUAAAUGUUAAUUUUAUCACUAAAGAAGUCUAAUUUAAUUGGUUGAAUGAAAUAUGUGGUCUAACUUAACUGGUUGAACCAAGUGUCUGAUUGUUGUAAACUUCUUGAUACAUGUUUUUGACUGUUAUGAAUAAAAUUAUUGAUUUUACUCAUACUUUCUAUGUUAGAUAAAACAAAACAUUCAAUAAAUUAUUAAGUUAAAUGAUAGUAGUUAUGGAAAAAGAAAAUUUAUUUAUAUAUAAAUUCUAUAUUAAUAAUUUUACCCAUAGAUAUCAAUAUAUAAAUAUACUUAAAUUUACAUAAGUAAAGAAAAAGCUUUAAUAUUUUUACUAAGUAAUUCAAAUAUUAAUAUAAUUUUAGGUAAAAUAUUCAUCCUAUAAAUUAAGUAUUUCUUUGUUUUCUUUCAUAGAAAAUGUUCAUCUUCAUUCAUCAUAUUUUAUUUAUAUUUCACAUGUUAGAAAGAAUAGAACGUUCAAUAAAUAAGUUAAGUUUAAAAAAUACUAAGAUGAAUGAAUGUUAAAAUAUUUUAAGGUAGUUAUGGAAAAAGAACGUUCAAUAAAUUUUCUAAGUAAUUCAAAUAUUAAAAUAUUUUAAGGUAAUUUAUUCUACCUAUAAAUUAAGUGUUUCUUAUCGUUCUUUUCACGAAAAAUGUUUAUCCCCGUUUGUUAUAAAUUAAGUGUUUAUUUUCGUUUUUCAUGGAAAAUGUUCUUCCCUGUUUGUUAUAUUUUAUUUAAAAUUUACAUGUUAAAUACUAAAAUUAAGUUUUAAAAAUACUAAAAUUAUAAUAAAUAAUAAUUUUUCCUAAGUAAUUCAAACAUCAACACAAAUUAAUUAUUCAUCCUAUAAAUUAAGUGUUUCUUUUCGUUCUUUCUCGUAAAUGUCCAUUCCCAUUUGUUAUAAGUUAAGUAUUUAUUUUUUAUUCUUUUAUAGAAAAUGUCCGUCCCCAUUUGUUAUAUUUUAUUUAUAUUUCAUAUGUUAGAAAGAAUAAAACUUUCAAUAAAUAAGUUAAGUUUAAAAAAAAUUAUAAUAAAGCAUAAUUUUUCCUAAGUAAUAUAAAUAUUAACAUAAAUCAAGGUGAAUUAUUCAUCCUAUAAAUUAAGUGUUUUUUUUUAUCAUUUCAUAAAAAAGGUUCAUCCCUGUAUGUUGUAUUUUAUUUAUACUUCAGAUGUUAGAGAAAAUAAAGCUUUCAAUAAAUAAAUUAAGUUAUAGGAGAAUAUAUAUAUAUAUAUAUAUAUAUAUAUAUAUAUAUAUAUAUAUAUUUCUUUAUAUAUAUAUAUAAAUAUUAAUAUUUAGUUUCUUUAUGUACAGUGCUCAUCCCCUAAAUGUAAAUAUUUAUUGAUAUUGAUAUGUUGAUAUAAUUAAAAUAUUAAUUUAUUAAAUAUUUUUAUGUAAAAAUUUCAUGAACUUUUGUCAUUAAAAUGUUUGAAUGCAACUAUUUUUUGCUUAACAAACUAAUUCUAUCCCUAAUACUUUUUUAAUAUGGAUUAUUCAUUUAAAGAUUAACUGAAAUAAAAUUAUUAUCUUCACUCAUCUUUACAUAUAAAUAAUAACUAAGUAAGCAAAUAAUUAAUAUAAAUAAAUAAAUAAGUAAUUAAAUAAGUAAAUAAAUUAUAACACUAAAAAAAACAUGUUUUUGAUCGUCAAAAUCAGUCAAAAACCUAAAAAAUCCGUUGAUAAUUGAACUGUCGAAAAAAUGAUCGUAAAAACUUUUAACCAAUAGAUUUUUGCUGUUCGUUCAAAAUUUUCGACGAAUCUUUUUCAUGAGAAAUUUCUGACACAUUUUGUGGAAAAUUUCUGACGGAAAUAUAUUUCCAUCAGAAAAUCAAUCGGAAACACUAUUUUAUAAAUAAUUGUAUAUUUCUUUCAUAUUUAAUGUUAUAUUCAUAAUAACUUAUUUACAGGCAUAUUUUAAAGUGAUUUUUUUAAAAUAACACAAAAAUCCCAUCUAUUCACUACCAGUAUAAUGAUGCAACUAUGGAAUGGAAUAAUCAUUUUCACAGUUGGCAGUAAAUGGAUAUUUUUUUGUUUUAUAGAAAUACAAAUAUCAAAGAAUUUUUUUAACAACACUUAAGUUAGAUCCGUCUUUAAGGCAUAGAUUAAGAGUAAUCUUGAUAACUAAUAUACUAACUAAGAGUAAGGGUAAUUGCUACUACAAAAAAGAGAGAAAUGGUAUAUACUUGUAUAACAUGUUAUACAACAAAGUGUACAAUCAAAAAGAGAGAAAAGAUAAAGAAAUUUAAAUUUGAAAUGUAAGGUGAGAGAAAGAGAUAGACAUAAAAUAAAUUUGUAUAAAUUGUUGUAUCUGUAUCAUAAAUCAAUUUACUCAUCAAAUUAUUAAUUAUUAUUAUGUUAUUUUAGAAAAAAAAGAGCCAGAGAAGACAUACAACUAACUAACGAAUAAAAAGGAUGGGUGAUCAUCAGCCAGCAAAUGAAAUAAAAGAAAAUUUGGGGAACAUUAAACUAUAUAUAUUGCAACCCCAAUCCAAAUUAACCCAUCCCAUGUUUUGCCAAAACAUCUGCUAGGAAAUUUGUCUCCCUGAAUAUAUUAUGCCAAGAAAGGCUAUCUGUAUUGGCUUAAUUAAAGCACAAUUAGAUUUCGUUAAUCAGAGAACUAGCUGGAUGCAAGUUAGAGCAUCUACCAAGAAUUUUAUUUAUUUAAAGAUGAUUUAAACUUUCUAUUGAAAAAAGAUGAUUUAAAUUAUCAUAUUUGACCUUAUGAAAAAUUAAAAUAAUUAAUGCAUGAUAUAACAAAAAUAUUGAAAGAAUUAUAUUGAGACAAUUAACACUUUAAUUAACAUGAAUUUUCAAUGAAUAACUUAGGGGUUUUGCUUGUAUAUUAAUGAACAUAUUGCGUAUAUCUUGAAAAUUUUAAUUGUAACUGAUAUUUUAUUAAGAUGAUAAACCAAAGUUAAAUAUAUGAAAUUUAUUAGGAAGGUCUCUCUUCUAAAAACAUUAGCAAGUACUCUAGGCAAUGGCAACGUGAAGAAGCAAUGCUAGCCAGCUCCACCAGUCAACGAAAUUAAGAAAGAUACAUAGAUGUAUAUGAAAUUGAAAGUUUGAUUGAUGAAUGCACGUGCUGGGUCUAACUCAAAUAACAGUGCUAAGUGCUAAGUGCCUCGGAAGCUCGUAAAAUUUGACUUGGUAUAGAAUUAUACUGUUACUUUGAUCAGUAGUUAUUGCCCAUUGGUAUAUAUGGAGCGCGAAAGCGAGAAGCAGAGAAAGAAAAAAAGAAAAAAAGUGGUCCAGCUUAGUCUAUGGCUGACUGACACCCAACAACCGUGUUGAUAAGGAGAGAAAUUUAAUAACACAUUCAUUUUUAAUCUCAAGCUUGAGCAACACAGGGAGAAAGAAACACAUACGGCCACGACAAACUUUAAAAAUCGAACAAAAAAGGAAAUGAACCUGACGGCGAGUUGGGCACGAAGAACUAGUGACAACAAGCUAGUGAUGGAGAAAGCCUGCGACAACGAGUUGAUGACGGGGCCUCCACGAUGGUGAACUGGGCAUGACUCAAGAGUGAGUGAGGUGAGAGUGAAGGCAGAGUGAAAAAUGAGAGUAAUUGAAAUGAUGCUAAGGUUGCUUGGCUUUGAUUGGAACGGUAAUUUCUGACAAAACCUAAUACAUGGGCCAAAAUUUCUAACGAAAAAUAAUCUGUCGAUAACUAAUGCUUUUCUGAUGGAAAUACUUUUCUAACGGAAAUUAUCCCGUGAGAAAAAUUCCAUCGAAAAUUAUGAUUUUUUUUAGUGUAACACGAUGAAGAAAAAUAUAAUUCUUUUCGAAACAAAAAGAAAACCUAAUAACAUUUGACUAAAUGCUUGAAAUAAUUUUUUAUAGUCCUAAGAAGACCAAAAAAAGCUUUCAGGCCCUUCGAUUAUGACAUUGCGCUAUAGUUAGCUCAACACCAAUAAAUAAUCCUUAAGAAAUGUCAAGAAUUUCUGUUAUAACCUCUCUUAUAGGUAAUUAAGGUAAUAUCAAAUGAUAAUGUAACUUAUUGUAAAUAUGAAAGUAACUUGUUCAAUCCUUUCAUAACUUGGACUAUUUUUAAAAUUCCUAAUCAUUAAUCGUUCCAAUUAUAUAAUUCAUGUUAUAUAUUUUAUUUAUAUAUCUGGGAAACUGAAACCACUAAUAAGCAUAAAACAUUUUCAUUGUUCAAUCCGAUAUCAAAUUUUAGUUUUUAAACGAAAGACUCACUACUAAAAAAAAAGGUUUUCUACAUCGCUCAAUUAACAUAAGUUAUUGCAAAAACCGAUGUUAACGAAAGCGCGGUGACAUUUUUGUAAAUAAAUGGAGUUACUUAACAUCGAUUUUAUAAAAACUAAUGUUAACCACUUAAUGUUAACAUCGGUUAUUUAAAUAACCGAUGAUAACAUGAUGUUAAGAUGAAUAUGUUAACAUCGGUUUUGGCAAAACCGAUGUUAACUUCAUAGAGUUAGCAUCGGUUUUGAUAAAACCGAUGUUAAGGAGUUGAACUGAACAUCGAUUUUUUGAGAAACCGAUGUUACCUUGUUGAUGUUAACAUCAGUUUUUAGAAAACCGAUGUUAACAUAUUCAUCUUAACAUCGAUUAUCCUUAAAAAAUUGAUGUUGUUAUGUUAAUAAGUUAAAACGUGUUGAAAUUUCACAACUUGCGCGCUCGAUAACCCUGCACUCUCUCUUCUCUUUCUCCUCCCACCUGAAAUCUGUCGGAAACCGUUCGCUCGACACCCACAUUGCCCCACAUUGAUUUCAAUACUGCCGAAAACCGCUCGUUGGAACCCACAGAACCCCCUAUCGAAGAAAAGUCAAAGAAAACCGUACACUGCUCUUGGAACUGUGGCUCGAGGAAAACCCUACACUCCUCCGCUAGGUACUAGGGUGCUAAAAUAGUCGUGGGUGCUCAAAGCUUUCUACGCUGCCAGUUAACAAGGUAUGAGCUCUACCUUAGUUAUUUGCUCUUCUUAGUAAGUUUUUAAUCAGUGCGGUGGGAUUGUCCGAAGGUUCUUAUCAAAUUAUUCGGUCAUUUUGUCCACUUGGCUAACCAUAUAAAAGUAAGAAUUCUAAUGUGGGGUUUCAUUUUGUUGUGGCAGUUGAUUGUGCUUUACGUGGUUUUCAAGCUUGACGAGAGUUACACGUCGAGCAAAGUUUCCAUCCGUGCCGGUGAUGGUUUUCACAACUUGAAGGUAAAUUUUUAUUUUAUUGGUUUGGGUUUGAUUGGGAUGAUUAUGGUUAAUUAUUUGGUGUUGACUUUGGGAACAUUUUUAGGAGAUUAAGACCGUGGAACUCGUGAAGCCAACUAGGUGGGUUUAUCUAUCCUUGUCUGGAGUUGAUCCUAGGUAAGUACAGUGUUCUUUCUAUUUUGCAAUCUGAGAAUUUGUUUAUUGACUAUUCUGUCAUCGUGUGAUUUUGGUCUCUUUUGCUUAAUUAUGCUCUGUCUGUAGCUGAUUGUGUGUGUUUGUUUUUAAUGGGAGAAACUACAGUAACAAUAGUUUAUUGUAGGGAAUGUGAAGAAACAAAUCCUGCUACUUUAUGAAUUUCCAUUUCAUGAUGUUAGUAUAGUUUGAAACUUUCUAUACGGUUUUGAAAAGUUUUAUGUUGAGGACUUAUACAAUCCUCCUCUUUUAGUCAGGCUUGAGAUCACAGAGUUAAGGUGUAGUGUGUGAUCCAUGUAAUUGAUCUCACCUAGUAGGAAAAAGGUACUGUUGUUAUUAUUGGAAUGAUGAAAUCAGACCUUCUCCCUGCUUUUGAUCAUAUUGUGUUUGGGGCAUUAUCAGUGGCUACUGCCUAAUGAUCUUCUAAAUCCGUGGCUGAAUUCUUCAUGUACGUUGAGGUGACUUUAAGAAUGAGGUUCUUUUCCUAACAAUAGGCUCUUUCUCUGCCCUCUCUAGUGCUGACUUGACCUUGUCAAGGGUGCACAGACUUUUGGUAGUUGUUGCUUGAAGGGAGUGUGGAUGAGACCAAUUUGAGGUCCAAGCUUGUUUCAUCAAAGAGGUGCCUUCUGGAAUGAGGAUCUAUAAUAAUAUUAGAAUAAAAUUGGGCAAAUGAUGCAAUGGCUCUGUUCACGGAUAAAACAUAGAAACAGUUUACUAGGUACUUUUAGUACAUGUUUGGGUUCAAGUUAAAACAUCCAAACCAUGUUCAAAUAGUAGCUAACAUAAUUUUAGGUAAAUAAUCACAUGUUUAGUACUAUGAAUUGAUUUACACAGCACAUGAAUAUUAGUUUGCAUAGGUGUAUUAAAUUUUUUACAGAGCACAUCAUAUUAACUUCAUUUGUUUGAUAACCAUGCUUUUGUGUGAAGACUCGAUGCCAUUGAUGCUAGAAGCCAAAGACACUAAUUGUUUGUCCUACUGCUUCCGGUUUAGGUACUGUAGCUUUUGCUGUCUAAUUAGUUCAUGUUCUUCAUUCAAUAACCUUUUUGGCCUCACACAAAGACACACACACACACACACACAAAUGAAUGAAUUGGGUAAAAAGUUAGGGUAGCACCUGUAAGUCAUUAAAAAAGAUGGUAGAUUCUUGCCUUAGAGGGUUGAGCAUGUGUAAGGAUGAUCUUAUAAGCCUUAGUAAGGAGAGUAGAUCAGAUGGAGGAUAGCCUAGUCACUAGAGGCAGAUGGAGAGUAAGAAAAACCAUAAGCAAAAGAAUUAAACAGAUUUAGAGAUACAAUGGAACAUUAUGGCAUUGUCUGAUUCAUGUAGUGAACUCCACCUAGUGGGAAAAGGCUUGGUUGUUGCUGUUUUAUCAGUCACUGAAUAGAGUUGGUUUUACUAAUUUGGGUCCUUCAGUUAUCCCAAAAUAAGAUAUGUGGCAAUACAAGUACAUUUAGCCACUCCAAAUACAUAAGUUAAAUAUACACAACUGAUGAAGGAAUCAAAUUCCUUCUAUUUCACAUUUAUUUAAAGGUAGGGACAAUACUUCAGCAACCAUAGAGCCCUUAGAUAGAGAUACUGUUUGGAAUUCCUCUGAAAGUCAAUCCCUCCUCACUAGAAGGAUAGAGCAAAGUGUAAGGCAUUUUAGCCGGCCCAUAGCGGUUUCUCAAUGUCUCAUCAUUGUUCUUCUCUAUAAGCUUGUUUUCAAUCUCUUCAAGAUUCUUUCCAAACCUCUUAAAGGCCUCUAAUGGCCCGGCAUCAGAAGUCCAGUAAUCACCACCAUCUCUCUGCCUAAGGUAGAACUCAUCAGAUGCGUGCCUUGAUAAAAUUUCUAUAA